UCUCACUGCACCCACGCUACCCCCUCUCCACCCCAUCGCCACCAUCCACAGCACCCGCUGCCAGGCCAGGGCUCCAGGGCACCCCUUCCCUUGGCCAGGGAGUCAACAGAGGUAAAAGUGAUAUUGCUCAAACAAAAGCAGAGAAACUUUGGCUGGGGCACUGGGGAGAAGUUCAGGGUCAGAGCUUGCUUAACUGUGAACUGGUGGGAGGCAAAGAGAGGGAAGUCUCCCCCUGCCUGUCUCUUCCCCAGGGGAGGAAGUGACCCCCAGGGGACAGGGACAUGCUUCUUCUGGGGCGGGGGGUGAGAUGAGGACAACUGGGCAAGUUAAAUUCUGGAAGAAGUAGGAAUGCUGAGGACCCUGGGCAUUAACUGCUGAACGCAGCAGAGGGGUCCUGGCAGGAGAUCCCCAGAAGGGGUCACUGAUAAGGCAUGGCAGUCCUCCCCCACCCUCCUUCAGAACGGUUAGAUGUCCCCCGGAAUAAGCAAAACCUGGCUGCCUCAAUUUGGACUCAGCAUCCUGGCAGAAAUGGGAAGAUCUAGCACCAGCCUGGGGACCUGUAAAAGCAUCUCCAACAGCAACCACAGCCUUGCUGCUCCCUCACGAUACAAGCCUGGGCGUUUAUUUCACAUCACGAAGCCUCAGUUUCCUCUCUUUGUCACCAAGGCUAAUGGGGGAUGUCAACCCAGAGAGAGAUAAGACACCCAAUCUCACACCCUCCAAGAUCCUGCUACACUGGUCUCUCUGCCCUCCUGUGAAUAUGCCAGUCUCAUUCCUGCUUCAGUGCUUUGCACUCGAGUUCCCUCUAUCUGGAAUAUUCUCCCCAGUUGGCUUCCUCCUUCGCUUCCAUCUGAUCUCUACUUAAAUGGCACCUCUUUGGAGGCGGCAGGAGCCCGGUGCGCAUCAUACCAGUUGAGUUCAGCAACAGGUUCAAAGGAGUUCCUCUGUGACCAGAAGUACAGUGAUGGAGACAACCUGCCAGAAAAACUUGCAGCCUUUAAAGAGAAGUACAUGGAGCCUGACCUGAACAAUGAGGGCGAGACUGACCAUCUGAUGUCUUUAAAGAGGAUGGAUAGUGGAGAAGCUUGGGGUCCCCAAGACCCACCUGGAAAUGAAGACUAUGGUGACAGGCGAGGUUGGCCACACCAUCUCUUGCCGAGACUUUGUGAACAUAAGACUGUCAUGAUGUUUGAAGGAAAAGCCAAUGAGAGAAGCCUCAAGCCCGUUGGCCCCCUCCAGAGAGAGACACUGCCAGUCUGCCCCGAGGACCCGCCGGGACCUGCCUCCCCCUCCCCCGUCUCCUUCCUCCCCUCCCCAUCUC
Molecule: long non-coding RNA, 1321 nt
Organism: Budorcas taxicolor (takin)
Lineage: Eukaryota; Metazoa; Chordata; Mammalia; Artiodactyla; Bovidae
Exons: 3
Source: RefSeq, a predicted model, not a curated record